This is a long non-coding RNA of Pezoporus occidentalis (night parrot), 382 nucleotides long. RefSeq lists it as uncharacterized. Lineage: Eukaryota; Metazoa; Chordata; Aves; Psittaciformes; Psittacidae. The transcript is spliced from 3 exons. The record is from RefSeq and is a predicted model, not a curated record.
AAUUACUGUAUGUAAAACAUUCUGCCUUGAGCAGAACUUCCCAGCCUGGGAGCCUGACCCACAGCAGGAUCAUGCUUCCUCCUCCAGGGAGACGCACAGCACUUCCAGGCAUUGGUGCUAUCUGAAGAUGGGAGAAGCAGAAGUAGUUUCUGGUUCCUUCCUUCUCUUGGCUUUACCUCUGCUCUUUCAGGUGGAGCGGUUGGCUAGGCCAGCAGGCUCUAAGCAUUAUUACUUCCAGGUUUUAAUAGAUGGGUUCAUGAACUUGAAUCUCCUCAGAUAAGGACCCACAGUCUUCCUAAAGGAGCUUCCAUUAAUUUCUGCUCAUGUUUAUCAUUUUCAGAUAUUUAACUAAGAUCUUAAAUGAGGGGUAGCCUUGACACAG